UCCUGCUCGGUCAUGUGAGGACCAAGAGAGGUGGUGUUGAUGUUGCAGCCUCUAUCUUGAGACUUAAGUGAGGUGAAUGUUCAUGGUUUGCCUUGGUCUGUCGAGUGUCGACGAUGGUUUGUUCGAUGACGUGUUCCUAGUUCCUGCUCAGUGUUAGACGUUUGUGCCGAGGCUUUAGCUAGUACCGUGUGUCGUUUGCUUGUAGCUUUUCCCCUGCUUACAAUCCAUCUUAUGAUAUGAAUUAGCAGGAGCUAGAAUUUGCCGCUGAAAGCUUGA
This 276-nucleotide long non-coding RNA is filed under the name Setaria viridis. RNAcentral describes it as "long non-coding RNA (SVIR_LNC002461)". The record is from RNAcentral. Lineage: Eukaryota; Viridiplantae; Streptophyta; Magnoliopsida; Poales; Poaceae.